UAGGGUUAGGGUUAGGGUCAGGAGCCCAUAGGGUUAAGUAACUAACCCUAUCGUAUACAUCAAGUACAUUAACUCACCCUAUAGUAUAUAUCAAGUAUAUGGUCGGGGUUAAAGGUCGGGGGGCGUGACCUGGUCGGGGUCAGAGGUCAGGGGUCGUGACCUGGUCGGGGUUAAAGGUCGGGGGUCCUGACCUGGCCAGAGAGCAGACGUUUCCCAGCGUGUAGAACACAGCGAACAGAGCGAGGCCCACGCCUGGAACCCACAGCAGGCAGCUCCCCUACACACACACACACACACACACACACACACACACACACACACACACACACACACACACACACACACACACACACACACACACACACACACACACACACACACACAC
Long non-coding RNA from Gadus macrocephalus (Pacific cod), 385 nucleotides. RefSeq lists it as uncharacterized. The transcript is spliced from 2 exons. The record is from RefSeq and is a predicted model, not a curated record. Lineage: Eukaryota; Metazoa; Chordata; Actinopteri; Gadiformes; Gadidae.